Molecule: ribosomal RNA, 563 nt
Rfam family: Bacterial small subunit ribosomal RNA
GCUAACGCGUGAAGUUGACCGCCUGGGGAGUACGGUCGCAAGAUUAAAACUCAAAGGAAUUGACGGGGACCCGCACAAGCGGUGGAUGAUGUGGAUUAAUUCGAUGCAACGCGAAAAACCUUACCUACCCUUGACAUGUCUGGAAUGCUGAAGAGAUUUGGCAGUGCUCGCAAGAGAACCGGAACACAGGUGCUGCAUGGCUGUCGUCAGCUCGUGUCGUGAGAUGUUGGGUUAAGUCCCGCAACGAGCGCAACCCUUGUCAUUAGUUGCUACGAAAGGGCACUCUAAUGAGACUGCCGGUGACAAACCGGAGGAAGGUGGGGAUGACGUCAAGUCCUCAUGGCCCUUAUGGGUAGGGCUUCACACGUCAUACAAUGGUCGGGACAGAGGGUCGCCAACCCGCGAGGGGGAGCCAAUCCCAGAAACCCGAUCGUAGUCCGGAUCGCAGUCUGCAACUCGACUGCGUGAAGUCGGAAUCGCUAGUAAUCGCGGAUCAGCAUGUCGCGGUGAAUACGUUCCCGGGUCUUGUACACACCGCCCGUCACACCAUGGGAGUGGGUUUU